CCUACGGGAGGCUGCAGUGGGGAAUAUUGGACAAUGGGGGGAACCCUGAUCCAGCCAUGCCGCGUGUGCGAAGAAGGCCCUCGGGUUGUAAAGCACUUUCAGUGAGGAAGAACGCCUGGUGGUUAAUACCCAUCAGGAAAGACAUCACUCACAGAAGAAGCACCGGCUAACUCCGUGCCAGCAGCCGCGGUAAUACGGAGGGUGCGAGCGUUAAUCGGAAUUACUGGGCGUAAAGCGCGCGUAGGUGGCUUGAUAAGCCGGUUGUGAAAGCCCCGGGCUCAACCUGGGAACGGCAUCCGGAACUGUCAAGCUAGAGUGCAGGAGAGGAAGGUAGAAUUCCCGGUGUAGCGGUGAAAUGCGUAGAGAUCGGGAGGAAUACCAGUGGCGAAGGCGGCCUUCUGGACUGACACUGACACUGAGGUGCGAAAGCGUGGGUAGCAAACAGGAUUAGAUACCCCAGUAGUC
Molecule: ribosomal RNA, 465 nt
Filed under: Vreelandella stevensii
Lineage: Bacteria; Pseudomonadati; Pseudomonadota; Gammaproteobacteria; Oceanospirillales; Halomonadaceae
Description: partial 16S ribosomal RNA
Rfam family: Bacterial small subunit ribosomal RNA
Source: RNAcentral